This 253-nucleotide ribosomal RNA is filed under the name uncultured bacterium. RNAcentral describes it as "partial 16S ribosomal RNA". It matches the Rfam family "Bacterial small subunit ribosomal RNA", at positions 524 to 776 of the family's 1533-position model. The record is from RNAcentral.
UACGGAGGGUGCAAACGUUGCUCGGAAUCAUUGGGCGUAAAGGGCGCGUAGGUGGUUCUGUAUGUCUACCGUGAAAGCGUACGGCUCAACCGUAUUUUGUCGGUGGAAACUGCAGGACUUGAGGCUGGGAGGGGCUGGUGGAAUUCCCUGUGUAGCGGUGGAAUGCGUAGAGAUGGGGGAGAACACUCGUGGCGAAGGCGGCCAGCUAGACCAGUUCUGACACUGAGGCGCGACAGCGUGGGGAGCAAACAGG